RNAcentral lists this ribosomal RNA (495 nucleotides) under uncultured bacterium. RNAcentral describes it as "partial 16S ribosomal RNA". It matches the Rfam family "Bacterial small subunit ribosomal RNA", at positions 28 to 507 of the family's 1533-position model. The record is from RNAcentral.
GACGAACGCUGGCGGCGUGCCUAAUACAUGCAAGUAGAACGCUGAAGGAGGGGCUUGCUUCUCCGGAUGAGUUGCGAACGGGUGAGUAACGCGUAGGUAACCUGCCUGGUAGCGGGGGAUAACUAUUGGAAACGAUAGCUAAUACCGCAUAAGAGUAGAUGUCGCAUGACAUUUGCUUAAAAGGUGCAACUGCACCACUACCAGAUGGACCUGCGUUGUAUUAGCUAGUUGGUGAGGUAACGGCUCACCAAGGCAACGAUACAUAGCCGACCUGAGAGGGUGAUCGGCCACACUGGGACUGAGACACGGCCCAGACUCCUACGGGAGGCAGCAGUAGGGAAUCUUCGGCAAUGGACGGAAGUCUGACCGAGCAACGCCGCGUGAGUGAAGAAGGUUUUCGGAUCGUAAAGCUCUGUUGUAAGAGAAGAACGAGUGUGAGAGUGGAAAGUUCACACUGUGACGGUAUCUUACCAGAAAGGGACGGCUAACUACGUG